GACGAACGCUGGCGGCGUGCUUAACACAUGCAAGUCGAACGGAAAGGCCCUGCUUUUGUGGGGUGCUCGAGUGGCGAACGGGUGAGUAACACGUGAGUAACCUGCCCUUGACUUUGGGAUAACUUCAGGAAACUGGGGCUAAUACCGGAUAGGAGCUCCUGCUGCAUGGUGGGGGUUGGAAAGUUUCGGCGGUUGGGGAUGGACUCGCGGCUUAUCAGCUUGUUGGUGGGGUAGUGGCUUACCAAGGCUUUGACGGGUAGCCGGCCUGAGAGGGUGACCGGCCACAUUGGGACUGAGAUACGGCCCAGACUCCUACGGGAGGCAGCAGUGGGGAAUAUUGCACAAUGGGCGGAAGCCUGAUGCAGCAACGCCGCGUGCGGGAUGGCGGCCUUCGGGUUGUAAACCGCUUUCGCCUGUGACGAAGCGUGAGUGACGGUAAUGGGUAAAGAAGCACCGGCUAACUACAUG
This 468-nucleotide ribosomal RNA is filed under the name uncultured bacterium. RNAcentral's name for it is "partial 16S ribosomal RNA". It matches the Rfam family "Bacterial small subunit ribosomal RNA", at positions 28 to 507 of the family's 1533-position model. The record is from RNAcentral.